Cercocebus atys (sooty mangabey) is the source of this 486-nucleotide long non-coding RNA. RefSeq lists it as uncharacterized. Lineage: Eukaryota; Metazoa; Chordata; Mammalia; Primates; Cercopithecidae. The transcript is spliced from 3 exons. The record is from RefSeq and is a predicted model, not a curated record.
UGAAGGUAUAGGACAUCCUGGAAGCUGAGCAGAGAAGCAUGCAGCCGUUCCAUCCCAGAGGAAGCAGCACCCCAUCCCUAUGGGCUGAGAAGCAAACGCUCCCUGCUAAAUGUUCCAUCACAAUCAACAAAUACAAGAGGAUCCACUGCUAGAAACUGGAGUUGAAUUUCUCUUUCCCUUAUUCUUUACCUCAGAUCUGCAACCUCCUGUCUGCUGAAUAACUGAGGCUCAACAAGAUGAGGGCAUUUGUCUAAGUCACAAUCCUCAGCUUUCCCGUGAGGCCGGGCUGGAGGGACUCUUCAUGUUACAUCUGCAGACAGAGGGAGCACACAGGGCCUGUGGACUUACCGUGCACACGACGAUGCGGACACACCUGCUGUGCCAGGGCAUCAAAGGACUCUCAGCUCCCAAUUUACCCUCCGAAACAUGCUCUGUGAUAAACCACAGAAUACCUUUCAGCGUUUUUCGAGUGAGCACGAUGCAAAG